RNAcentral lists this ribosomal RNA (252 nucleotides) under uncultured bacterium. Its description in RNAcentral is "partial 16S ribosomal RNA". It matches the Rfam family "Bacterial small subunit ribosomal RNA", at positions 524 to 776 of the family's 1533-position model. The record is from RNAcentral.
UACGUAGGUGGCAAGCGUUGUCCGGAAUUAUUGGGCGUAAAGCGCGCGCAGGGCGGUUCUUUAAGUCUGAUGUGAAAGCCCACGGCUCAACCGUGGAGGGUCAUUGGAAACUGGAGAACUUGAGUACAGAAGAGGAAAGCGGAAUUCCACGUGUAGCGGUGAAAUGCGUAGAGAUGUGGAGGAACACCAGUGGCGAAGGCGGCUUCUGGUCUGUAACUGACGCUGAGGCGCGAAAGCGUGGGAGCAAACAGG